GACGAACGCUGGCGGCGUGCCUAAUACAUGCAAGUUGAGCGCUGAAGGUUGGUACUUGUACCAACUGGAUGAGCAGCGAACGGGUGAGUAACGCGUGGGGAAUCUGCCUUUGAGCGGGGGACAACAUUUGGAGACGAAUGCUAAUACCGCAUAAAAACUUUAAACACAAGUUUUAAGUUUGAAAGAUGCAAUUGCAUCACUCAAAGAUGAUCCCGCGUUGUAUUAGCUAGUUGGUGAGGUAAAGGCUCACCAAGGCGAUGAUACAUAGCCGACCUGAGAGGGUGAUCGGCCACAUUGGGACUGAGACACGGCCCAAACUCCCACGGGAGGCAGCAGUAGGGAAUCUUCGGCAAUAGACGAAAGUCUGACCGAGCAACGCCGCGUGAGUGAAGAAGGUUGUCGGAUCGUAAAACUCUGUUGGUAGAGAAGAACGUUGGUGAGAGUGGAAAGCUCAUCAAGUGACGGUAACUACCCAGAAAGGGACGGCUAACUACGUG
This 497-nucleotide ribosomal RNA is filed under the name uncultured bacterium. RNAcentral's name for it is "partial 16S ribosomal RNA". It matches the Rfam family "Bacterial small subunit ribosomal RNA", at positions 28 to 507 of the family's 1533-position model. The record is from RNAcentral.